GACGAACGCUGGCGGCGUGCUUAACACAUGCAAGUCGAACGGAAAGGCCCUGCUUUUGUGGGGGGCUCGAGUGGCGAACGGGUGGGUAACGCGUGAGUAGCCUGCCCUGGACUUUGGGAUAACUUCACGAAACUGGGGCUAAUACCGGAUAGGAGCUCCUGCUGCAUUGUGGGGGUUGGAAAGUUUCGGCGGUUGGGUAUGGACUCGCGGCUUAUCAGCUUGUUGGUGGGGUAGUGGCUUACCAAGGCUUUGACGGGUAGCCGGCCUGAGAGGGUGACCGGCAAGAUUGGGACUGAGAUACGGCCCAGCCGUCUACGGGACGCAGCAGUGGGGAAUAUUGUACAACGGGCGGAAGCCGGAUGCAGCAACGCCGCGUGCAGGAUGACGGCCUUCGGGUUGUGAACCGCUUUCGCCUGUGACGAAGCAUGAGUGACGGUAAUGGGUAAAGAAGCACCGGCUAACUACGUG
Molecule: ribosomal RNA, 468 nt
Filed under: uncultured bacterium
Lineage: Bacteria
Description: partial 16S ribosomal RNA
Rfam family: Bacterial small subunit ribosomal RNA
Source: RNAcentral